This 71-nucleotide transfer RNA is filed under the name Synodus variegatus (variegated lizardfish). RNAcentral's name for it is "tRNA-Gly". It matches the Rfam family "tRNA". From Rfam's summary of the family: Transfer RNA (tRNA) molecules are approximately 80 nucleotides in length. Lineage: Eukaryota; Metazoa; Chordata; Actinopteri; Aulopiformes; Synodontidae. RNAcentral also lists the same sequence under 1 other name. The record is from RNAcentral.
AUCUUUUUAGUACAGUGAGAGUAUAUCUGGCUUCCAACCAGAAGGCCUUAGUUUGACCCUAAGAAAAGAUA